CCCCCCGAAAAAAUUUUAAAAUUUGCAUGGGGCUCUGAAACAGCAUUUAAUGCGUUCUGGCGUCACUUUUAAAAUUAAUUUAAUGAUUAGAAAAUGCAUGUUUUUGAGUGAAUUUUUUACUAAUACGCGACUCAAACAAUUAAUUGAACCUUUUCCGAAGCGUAUUUAUAGCUAGUGCCUAUUGUUAAAAAAAUAAGACCCGCUAAUUGCUGACACAUCGAUUUUGAGUAUACACGCUUUCAAUCCAACUCUAACGACAAACUAAAAACCAAACUGCAAGAGCGUGAAAGCUUCGCAAUCAUUUCCUGAUUCUCAAUCGCCAAAGCAAUGAUCAGUGGGUCUAAAUACGCUCGGU
Paramuricea clavata is the source of this 355-nucleotide non-coding RNA. The record is from the annotation of a GenBank genome assembly. NCBI's taxonomy places the organism in Eukaryota, Metazoa, Cnidaria, Anthozoa, Malacalcyonacea, Plexauridae.